GACGAACGCUGGCGGCGUGCUUAACACGUGCAAGUCGAACGGAAAGGCCCUGCUUUUGUGGGGUGCUCGAGUGGCGAACGGGUGAGUAACACGUGAGUAACCUGCCCUUGACUUUGGGAUAACUUCAGGAAACUGGGGCUAAUACCGGAUAGGAGCUCCUGCUGCAUGGUGGGGGUUGGAAAGUUUCGGCGGUUGGGGAUGGACUCGCGGCUUAUCAGCUUGCUGGUGGGGUAGUGGCUUACCAAGGCUUUGACGGGUAGCCGGCCUGAGAGGGUGACCGGCCACAUUGGGACUGAGAUACGGCCCAGACUCCUACGGGAGGCAGCAGUGGGGAAUAUUGCACAAUGGGCGGAAGCCUGAUGCAGCAACGCCGCGUGCGGGAUGACGGCCUUCGGGUUGUAAACCGCUUUCGCCUGUGACGAAGCGUGAGUGACGGUAAUGGGUAAAGAAGCACCGGCUAACUACGUG
Molecule: ribosomal RNA, 468 nt
Filed under: uncultured bacterium
Lineage: Bacteria
Description: partial 16S ribosomal RNA
Rfam family: Bacterial small subunit ribosomal RNA
Source: RNAcentral